Molecule: long non-coding RNA, 584 nt
Filed under: Cyanistes caeruleus (blue tit)
Lineage: Eukaryota; Metazoa; Chordata; Aves; Passeriformes; Paridae
Description: lncRNA (ENSCCEG00000023485.1)
Source: RNAcentral
UUUCCCCCUGUCCCAUCUUGCAUCCCAUUUUAAUGCUGGCAGUCUCAUUUUUACUUUAUCUAGGCUUUUAGCUCUGCACUUAUAAAACAAGCACAGAAAACCCUGAACACUUUGGUGCCCUGAUCUCACCUUGGAACUGUGGCUUUUCAAGGCAAACUAAAGGGCAGAAGGGCAUUAAGCAAGCUUUUGCAAAGUACAUAUUGUACUGCCCUUUCGUUUCAAGUCAAAGAAGGAAGCAAAGGCAUCAUCUGUCAUGGGGGUGAAAAGCUGCCAGGUAUCUCAAAACCUCAUCUUUCAUCUUCAGUGAAGAAAACUGAAAUUAACCCUGCUGAUAUGAAGGCAGCUGGAAAAACUGAAAAGAGUCACAUAAGGAUCCUAUAAAAGAGGCAGCAGGAAUGUUGAUGUUAUUAUAUUGUCCUUGGUAUGUACCAUAGGAUGGAAUUCAGACAACUGCUUCUAAAUAUCAGUUUAUCAGUAUGGCAAUUGGUACAGUCUUGUUUUGUAUUUUAUUGCCCUGUAGUUAUUCAGAAGGAUUGAACAAGUCAGCCUAGAAAUCCCCUCAUGGGCUACAAAUAUAAUUCUGA